Molecule: ribosomal RNA, 433 nt
Filed under: uncultured bacterium
Lineage: Bacteria
Description: partial 16S ribosomal RNA
Rfam family: Bacterial small subunit ribosomal RNA
Source: RNAcentral
AACGAACGCUGGCGGCAUGCCUAACACAUGCAAGUCGAACGAGACCUUCGGGUCUAGUUGCGCACGGGUGCGUAACGCGUGGGAACCUGCCCUUAGGUUCGGAAUAACUCCCCGACAUGGGUGCUAAUACCGGGUAAUGUCUUCGGACCAAAGAUUUAUCGCCUUUGGAUGGGCCCGCGUUGUAUUAGCUAGUUGGUAGGGUAAAAGCCUAUCAAGGCGACGAUACAUAGCUGGUCUGAGAGGAUGAUCAGCCACACUGGGACUGAGACACGGCCCAGACUCUUACGGGAGGCAGCAGUGGGGAAUAUUGGACAAUGGGCGAAGGCCUGAUCCAGCAAUGCCGCGUGAGUGAUGAAGGCCUUAGGGUUGUAAAGCUCUUUUACCCGGGAUGAUAAUGACAGUACCGGGAGAAUAAGCUCCGGCUAACUCCGUG